This 820-nucleotide ribosomal RNA is filed under the name Burkholderia sp. RNAcentral's name for it is "bacterial SSU rRNA". It matches the Rfam family "Bacterial small subunit ribosomal RNA", at positions 393 to 1176 of the family's 1533-position model. The record is from RNAcentral. Lineage: Bacteria; Pseudomonadati; Pseudomonadota; Betaproteobacteria; Burkholderiales; Burkholderiaceae.
AAUGCCGUCGUGUGUGAAGGAAGGCCUUCGGGUUGUAAAGCACUUUUGUCCGGAAAGAAAUUCCUUGGGCUCUAAUACAGUCGGGGGGAAUGACCGGUACCGGAAGAAUUAAGGCACCGGGCUAAACUACGUGCCAGGCAGCCGCGGGUAAAUACGUAGGGGUGCGAGCGUUAAUCGGAAUUUACUGGGCGUAAAGCGUGCGCAGGCGGUUUGCUAAGACCGAUGUGAAAUCCCCGGGCUCAACCUGGGAACUGCAUUGGUGACUGGCAGGCUAGAGUAUGGCAGAGGGGGGGUAGAAUUCCACGUGUAGCAGUGAAAUGCGUAGAGAUGUGGAGGAAUACCGAUGGCGAAGGCAGCCCCCUGGGCCAAUACUGACGCUCAUGCACGAAAGCGUGGGGAGCAAACAGGAUUAGAUACCCUGGUAGUCCACGCCCUAAACGAUGUCAACUAGUUGUUGGGGAUUCAUUUCCUUAGUAACGUAGCUAACGCGUGAAGUUGACCGCCUGGGGAGUACGGUCGCAAGAUUAAAACUCAAAGGAAUUGACGGGGACCCGCACAAGCGGUGGGAUGAUGUGGAUUAAUUUCGAUGCAACGCGAAAAACCUUUACCCUACUCCUUGACAUGGUCGGGAAAUCCCCGCUGAGAGGUGGGAGUGCUCGAAAGAAGAACCGGCGCCACAGGUGCUGGCAUGGCUGUCGUCAGCUCGUGUCGUGGAGAUGUUGGGUUAAGUCCCGCAAACCGAGCGCCAACCCUAUGAUCCCUUAGUUGCUACGCAAGAGCACUCUAAGGAGACUGCCGGUGACAAACCGGAGGAAGGUGG